Molecule: ribosomal RNA, 253 nt
Filed under: uncultured bacterium
Lineage: Bacteria
Description: partial 16S ribosomal RNA
Rfam family: Bacterial small subunit ribosomal RNA
Source: RNAcentral
UACAGAGGGAGCAAGCGUUGUUCGGAAUUACUGGGCGUAAAGGGCGCGUAGGCGGCCUGUUAAGUCGAACGUGAAAUCCCCGGGCUCAACCCGGGAACUGCGUCCGAUACUGGCAGGCUUGAAUUCGGGAGAGGGAUGUGGAAUUCCAGGUGUAGCGGUGAAAUGCGUAGAUAUCUGGAGGAACACCGGUGGCGAAGGCGGCAUCCUGGACCGAUAUUGACGCUGAUGCGCGAAAGCGUGGGGAGCAAACAGG